This 107-nucleotide small nuclear RNA is filed under the name Rhinopithecus roxellana (golden snub-nosed monkey). Lineage: Eukaryota; Metazoa; Chordata; Mammalia; Primates; Cercopithecidae. The record is from RNAcentral.
GCGUUCAAUUCAGCAGCACACAUACUAACACUGGAACAAUUCAGAGAAGAUCAGCAUGGCCCCUGCGCAAGGAUGACAUGCAAAUUCGUGAAGCAUUCGUAUUUUUA